GAUGAACGUUGGCGGCGUGCCUAACACAUGCAAGUCGAACGCUAGUAGCAAUAUUAGAGUGGCGCACGGGUGAGUAACACGUAGCUUAUCUACCUCCCAGCGCGGGAUAACGGUUCGAAAGAACUGCUAAUACCGCAUAAGCUCACGAGCUAUAGAGGCUGGUGAGAAAAGGCUUAGGUCACUGGGAGCGGGGGCUGCGGCCCAUCAGCUAGUUGGUGAGGUAACGGCUUACCAAGGCGACGACGGGUAGGGGACC
This 256-nucleotide ribosomal RNA is filed under the name uncultured bacterium. RNAcentral's name for it is "partial 16S ribosomal RNA". It matches the Rfam family "Bacterial small subunit ribosomal RNA", at positions 28 to 292 of the family's 1533-position model. The record is from RNAcentral.